This 4669-nucleotide long non-coding RNA is filed under the name Oncorhynchus kisutch (coho salmon). Its description in RNAcentral is "lncRNA (ENSOKIG00005044087.1)". The record is from RNAcentral. Lineage: Eukaryota; Metazoa; Chordata; Actinopteri; Salmoniformes; Salmonidae.
CAAGGCCAGACAGAUUCAUUUGCCUGCCAGUGACUGUCUUUGCCUCCCUCUUUCCCUCCGUCCCCCAAUUCUCCUGCACUGAAUAUUUCUUAUCCAUUUAGCUGGCUCUGGUUCAGUCCCAAAAAGCACCCUAUUCCCUGUAUAGUGCACGCACUAGUGUUGAUCAGAGUCCUAUAGGCCCUGUCCAAAAGUAGUGCACUACAUAGGGAAUUGGGUGCCAUUUGGGACUCAGACUGGCUGCGUGCAUUCAGCAGUGUGUAGUGUGGUGGUGGGUGGGUUGAAUUAAAGUGACACAACUGCAGUACGUGCCACUCCGUAGCUAAAGAGAGCAGAGCAGCACUCCAGGGUCUGUGAGCUGUGAGAGACAUUUAAAAGGGAAGUAACCGUUUCAGUAGAGCAACGAGCCACAGAGAGAGAGAGAGAGAGAGAGAGGAGGAUAGAGCUUCUCACUAUGCUGUAGAGCAUCCAUGACUCUAAUCUAGUUUAUAAAGGAUCCUGAUAGGAACUGGGAGAGAGAAAUGUGUUUUAUAUUCUCAAAGAUUUAACUCAGUGUGUUAUUUUGGAUGAUGCAUAUCUGUGUUUUCCACAGCACUGAAUCUGGAUGCAGGAUCUAACCAGCCCAGAACUGCAGCAAGUCAGCUGGUUUUAUCCAUUUACCCCAUAUGGCUUUUUCCUCCCUUUUUCUCUUCUAUUUGUUUGAAUUUCGAAGAUGAGCAAGAGGCAGUCGGUCAGCUGCACAGUGAGCACAGGGGAGCAGGAGGACACACAGAACAGUACAGGCAUUUUCAAAUAGAACUAUAAAAGGAGGAGAGGAAGAGGAGGAGGAAGAGGAGAGUCUGUGUUGUGUGGCAGAGUUGUGGUGUUCCCUGCUCAGUGCCUAGCAGUAACAUGGCUGUGAUACAGAAGAGGGAACACAGGGAGACCCCCAGCAAGAAGACAGCACCCCAAGAAGACAGAAAGGGUCUUUCUACCAGAGAUACUCUAGACAAGCAGAAAAAGGAGAGCAGAGCCGGGAGACGGAGAGAAAAAGGCAAUGAAGACACAAAGCCCAAUAAUUCAGAGAAGAGGAGAGCAGUCAUCUGUGUCCCUGCCUCCAUCAAAUCAGCUGUGAUCAGUAACAACACAACCAGUCACGCAGCAGGGCCACAGGCGCUGAAGGUUGAUGACAGGCUGAGACUAGCGAAGGAGCGGAGGGAGGAGCAUGAGAAUCAGCUUGUGUCCAGAGAGCUGGGCUGGUUGGCUCGAGAGGAGCGAGCCAGGCGUCUUUAUGAGCAGCAGCUGGAGGUGAGGAAGAGGAGGCUACAGGAGCAGAGAGAGAAGGAGGAGAAGCGAAGGACAGCUCUUGAGCGGAGGGAGGAGCUUAAGAAACAGCUUGUGUCCAGAGAGCUGGGCCGGUUGGCUCGAGAGGAGCGGGCCAGGCAUCUCCAUGAACAGCACCUGGAGGAGAGGAAGAGGAGGCUGCAGGAGCAGAGAGAGAAGGAGGAGAGGAGGCGCACUGCCGUGGAGGAGAAGAGGAGGCAGAGGAUGAAGGAGGAGACAGUGAGUUAUUGUGCCUCAGGGGUCAGAUGUAGCAGUAGUUACUUCUGAUUAGGUGUCUAUUGUGGGCAUCAGUGUUGCUUUACAGAAAAUAAAAUGCACUGGUUUAAGUUGAGGGUCGUUAGUACAGGUGGAUGGAUGGUUUCUGUUGGAGCAAGGACUGGAUGGAGGCGGAUAACUAUUUAACAGCUUUAUUGAACAAGCUACAUUGAACAUCAUCAGCCACCGGAACUAGAACUAUCUGUUAGUGAUGGGUUGUUCGCGAACGAGUUAGAGCCGGCUCUUGUAGGUGAAUGUUGGGAGCCGGCUCGCAUAUCAGAAGAGACUAAUCUAUUUAUAAAAAAUAUAAAAAUAAAGAUAUGAAUAUAAAUUAAUAGAAUUAACUAAUUCAAAGAAUGAAAAAUAACAAUAAUAUAGGCCUAAAUGCUCAAGCGCACACACAUUAGUUCUGACUGUCUGCUCAGACUAACAGCCUCACCUGUUGUUCCUGUCAAUCAGACAAGCAGUGUCAACCAAUGAACCAAAGAUGCAUGAGGGAGGUCCGAGCCAACUCACUCACAGUCACAGACUUAGCAGCCGAGGAGAGAGAGGAAGGACAGCUGUGAAAACAACAUCUGAAAAAUUAGUUGGAAGCACAGCAGCAUUUGGAUGCAUUUUAAUAAUGUAGACAAUGUUAGAGCACAGUGUAGAAUUUGCCAAAACAAAAUCUCAUAUAAAGCCGGUUCUACACACAACCUACACCGGCAUAUGCGAACUGUGCACCCAACUGUGAAGCUAGCUGUAUCGGAGAAACUAGUGGGCCUGCUAGUGAUAGUGGUGGAGCCAGCAUCUCGUAUCCACUCAGUCAAGUAGGCCUACUCCGGGACCCACAGCAAUGCAGUCUUCUAUGGACCAGUUUAUGCCAAAGACUAUGUCUGUAGCAAAACAAGGCCAAAUUGAUAUUGCAUUGGCUAAAAGGAUUGUCACCGAUUUCCAGACUGAACUACAAGGUGGAUUUCAGCAUUUCAGCAUUUUACAUGUUGAAGCGGUUUCUGCACCUGUUGAUGCUGUUGAUGCUCUGCUCUGUUGAUGCUCUGACCCAAGAGGAAUGGGAGGUGGUGGAGGAGGUGUGCAGAGUCCUGGAACCCUUUGAGCAGGUCACUGUGGAGAUCAGUGGAGAGGUACAGUAAGCAGUUAUUACUACAUCAUUAUUUAAUCCAGUAUUAUAUAUGUAGAUGACCAGUAGAUGAGAAUGUAGUAUCCGUAGACAAAACAUGAACCUAAACUAAUAAGUUACUGUUCUCUCUUUUCAGCUAUGUGACAGCCUCAAAAAUGAUACUCCUGUGUCAGGGUCUGCAGCGAAUCACAACCAGCCGCCAGAGAGAAGCAAAUGUAACCACAGGACAUGUGACAGAGUUGAUGGACACCCUAUGUUCAUCAAUGGACAGAAAGAUCCACAGGAUGGAAUAUAAUCAUGUGCUAUCAGAAACCGCUGCACUUGACCCCAGGUUUAAGAAGUUAGCCUUCAGUGAUGCCAGAGCGAUUGAUGAGGCUCUUCAAAGAAUAACCUCAGCAGCAGGGAGAGACAGCCCCAGCAGUCAUCUGGCUCAGACACCAAGGCAACAGGAAGAAGAGGGAUCAGAUGGAGCAGAAGCACCAGAAGUAGUGCCACCAACUCAGUCGGCUGUUUGGAUGCUGUUUGUCAAUGAGCAACUGGGAAUGUAGCAUGAAGGAAUCCCUCAGCAGAUGCCAUAGUGGAGGUCCAAUCCUAUUUGGAGGAGCACCUCCUUUGGAGGAGCCCCUCCUCUGCAGAUCCUUUCAGCUGGUGGAAGAACAAGGCCUCUGUCUACCCAGAGCUUACUAAAGUCAUGACAGGGAGACUCUGCAUAGCGGUCACAUCCGUUCCCUCUAAGAGGGUCUUCUCGAAAACGGGACAAAUAAUUACUGAGAGAAGAAACCGCAUCAGCCCCUAGAAAGUGAGGCAGCUUGCAUUUCUGAACACAAAUCUCUCAUAAAAGCGUAAUAUGGUCAGCAUUGCGGUGUGCUGCUGGUUAUAACAUGGCAAUAAAGAAGAGCGCGAAAAGAGGGACCAGUUUAAUGUUUUAAGUGGGAUGCUGCAGUUUUGCACCUAAUUUAUUUGUCUGUGAUAUGGUGCAAUAUUCUAUUAUGCUGUUCAGAUUGUAUUCGUUCUGAAUGUUUAGAUUUAUAUGCACUUUGUUUAUACACAAUAAAAAGUUAUACUUUAAAUGCAAAUGUUUAAUAGCAUUAUUUUUCAAAACAAACCAAUGCAUUUUUAAAUACAUUGUGGUUAAGGUAGAGUAGAGAUUUAAUUGAAUAAUUUAAUUAGAAUUGUUUUAACACCAAUCAUAGUCAAACUAUCGCAAACUGUUUGAUUUGAAAAAAUACAAAACAUUUUUUUUUUAAAGAGCCGUUUGGGAGCCAAAAGAGACGGCUCUUUUUGAUGAGCUGAGCUGAACGGCCGGCUCACUGAAAAGAACCGGAAUGCCCAUCACUGCAGUCUGUUGCUUCCUGUAUCAAUAAAGCUUAACCCCACACAAUUAAAGAAUUGGCCAAUAGGAAAAUAAAUAUUUAGUUACCAGGUAAAGAAAUAGGUAAACAGUUAUUUCCUGUAACACAGAUUCACAGCACAUCAGCAACGUCUAUAACUGCCCAAUAAAUUAAAUUAUUACCCAGGAAAUAAUCCAGAAAACAGAUACAGUUUUCAACGUUUUGUGUUUCUAUCUGAAGCUAAACAGUUGUAAGGCUCAAUACGAUGUAAUGGAUCUUGGACCAAGUUACUGAAUAGCGUGUCUUGCUCGCCAAACUCAUACAGUGGAUGUGAGAAGAGACUACUGUAUCACUGACAAUGAGGUUUGUUGUUGUCUGAAGGAGCGCUAUGAGUCUGUGGUGAAGAAGACCUUAGAGAAGUGCCAGAGGGCCAAACAGAGACUGAGCCAGGGCUCUCGAGGAAGGAAGACCAACAACAAGAGCGGUAAAUGAGUAAAGAAUAUGUUUCAAAUGGCGCCCUAUAUCCUAUUUGGUGCACUACUUUUGAGUGUCUGUUUGACUUUGCUUCAUCUUCUUAACCCUUCAGCUACCAAGCUUUAUUCUUUCACCCUGUAACAUCUUUAGACCUUAUCUUUCGUCUGAUUUC